UCUUGUUUCAUAUGUAGAAAUUGAAAAACGAAAAAAAAAAGUCUUUCUACCAUGGGUGAGUUAUUUUGAUAAUUCAAUCACUUCUUGGUUACUUUAAUCAAUUUUCAGUACAAGUUUUUCAAAAGCUCAUUUUCAAUUUCCAUAAAAAC
Non-coding RNA from Caenorhabditis elegans, 149 nucleotides. NCBI's taxonomy places the organism in Eukaryota, Metazoa, Nematoda, Chromadorea, Rhabditida, Rhabditidae. The record is from Ensembl.